Molecule: transfer RNA, 66 nt
Filed under: Hiatella sp. J HML-2015
Lineage: Eukaryota; Metazoa; Mollusca; Bivalvia; Adapedonta; Hiatellidae
Also listed under: 1 other name
Description: tRNA-Lys
Rfam family: tRNA
About the family: Transfer RNA (tRNA) molecules are approximately 80 nucleotides in length. Their secondary structure includes four short double-helical elements and three loops (D, anti-codon, and T loops).
Source: RNAcentral
CCCGGAUUAGCUUAAAGUUCAGAGCUUCAAUCUUUUAAAUUGAUGGUAAAUAUAAUUUAUUCGGGU